This 402-nucleotide ribosomal RNA is filed under the name uncultured bacterium. Its description in RNAcentral is "bacterial SSU rRNA". It matches the Rfam family "Bacterial small subunit ribosomal RNA", at positions 355 to 774 of the family's 1533-position model. The record is from RNAcentral.
UGGGGAAUAUUGGACAAUGGGCGCAAGCCUGAUCCAGCCAUGCCGCGUGAGUGAUGAAGGCCCUAGGGUUGUAAAGCUCUUUCACCGGUGAAGAUAAUGACGGUAACCGGAGAAGAAGCCCCGGCUAACUUCGUGCCAGCAGCCGCGGUAAUACGAAGGGGGCUAGCGUUGUUCGGAAUUACUGGGCGUAAAGGGUGCGUAGGCGGCGCUCUAAGUUUGGUGUGAAAUCUCCCGGCUUAACUGGGAGGGUGCACUGAAAACUGGGGCGCGCGAGUAUGGGAGAGGAAAGCGGAAUUCCUGGUGUAGCGGUGAAAUGCGUAGAGAUCAGGAGGAACACCUGCGGUGCAGACGGCUUUCUGGACCAUCACUGACGCUGAGGCACGAAAGCGUGGGUAGCAAACA